RNAcentral lists this ribosomal RNA (80 nucleotides) under Halomonas salipaludis. RNAcentral describes it as "Halomonas sp. WRN001 partial 16S ribosomal RNA". It matches the Rfam family "Bacterial small subunit ribosomal RNA", at positions 1455 to 1533 of the family's 1533-position model. The record is from RNAcentral. Lineage: Bacteria; Pseudomonadati; Pseudomonadota; Gammaproteobacteria; Oceanospirillales; Halomonadaceae.
CACCACGGUGUGGUUCAUGACUGGGGUGAAGUCGUAACAAGGUAGCCGUAGGGGAACCUGCGGCUGGAUCACCUCCUUAC